AAAAAAUUUCUGUAUAUAGAGGGCAUGAUUUUUAUUUUUUUUUCCAGAGUAUUUGAUAAUUUCUUUGCAUACCACAGAGAGAAAUACUAUGAAGACUUGGGUAUCUUUCAAGGGUUUCACAGUCAGCAAUUCCAGAAUCUGUAUAGCAUCCAUCUGUCCCAGGCCAGGCCUCCAACAUUCUGCAAGCCCAACUCAUUAAUGGAAGUGUCACUCAAAAGUUUUUUGGAAAGUAGCAAGAAUUCUCUCCAGCACAUGUAUAAUCCUUGCAGCUGUAUGUCCUCUCCACACCUAUUCUCUGUUAUGCAUUUACUACUGCUGGUACUGCAGAGGCCAGGUUCAGCAGAUGUCAGAAUAUUCAAGGCCGAGCUUAUGGAGCUAUUAGGAUAUUUUUAAAUUUUAAUUUUUGGAAAAAAAAUUAAUCUUUAUUCUACCAAGUCUAGAAAAAGACAGUCCUUUAUUUAUUUUUUCCCUCUUUUACCAUAGUGUUUUCCUUCCUUUACCCUUUUUCUGUGGCUAAGAUGGUAAUAUAAAAUGGAUAGACAAAAAUGAAAAUACAAACCAGAGUGAGAAGAAAAGCCUGACAACACCACCAUCAUACAUCCUGUUGUUGCUAGUGAAAGAAAACAGAGUACAGAAGAACAUAAUUUUGAUGCUUGGAAUUUACUCGACAUAUUCCAUGGGUCUUUGAUCAAGGGCUGUUUCAGAGUCCUUGCCAUACUCUAAGUCUCACCCACAAAGUUAAACGAAUGAAAACUGUAUAAACCUCAAGGAUAUUGAGGGUUUUCUUUUAUAUUCCUUUACUUUGCCAUGGGCCCAUGAUAUGAACGGCAUGUGGUCCUGUUCUGCUGUCAUGGGGUGGCUUUACCUUUAAGACAGCUGAGGAAAGAGGGGAAGUUGAAGCUGCUGGUGGCUGAUGGGAGUUCUUCCUCCUAACCAAUUUCUAAGAAUUGACAGCAGAUCUGACCAUUAAAAAGUGAAUUCAACUUGUAAACACCCCCUUAAGAAGUACAGACAGAGUUCUUUUGCUCUCUUUCACUUCCAACUUUUGGCAAGGUAACAAGGCUCUGUUUUGGCCUCUCCCCCUCCCUCCAGGCCGACAAGGCCGCGGGGUGGAGGGGGAGGCGGGGAGAAGCAGCGUUGGUCAGCGAGCUUGGUUUAUAGUUGUUGCUGCUAGACUGAAACCUGAUACUGUGAACUCUUAUAGCUUUUUAAGCUUCUAAUUCUUUUACUACCUUGAGUAAACAUACAGAUUACUUCUUCUCUCAGAACGACAGAGAGAGAGAGAGACAAUUAACAUAGAGAAAACAUCAUAGAACCACCAAUGCAGCAGUGAAGAAAAGAGUUAAGUUUUAAAUAAGAGAGAGAGAAUAAGAAGAUGCUUAAUAGCUGAAAUAUCUUUUUGUUAAAGCUAUGGAGAUGGACAAUAAUCAUAUAAAAGACUCCUUUAAUUCAUGAUAAGAGUAUUGGGAGGAAUGGAGUAUUCAAAGUGUGGGUUUUGAGCAAAAGAGAAAGAGUUUGGCAUACUGUGAGUUGCUGAGAUUAAGUAGAGUGAAGAUUUUGAAGCCUUGGGGGCAAAGAGGGAACUGUUUUCCAGGAGACCUCACAGAAACAGAUGAAGAGGACUUCUGCCUUUGAAUAACUCAUCCUUAAAAAUGAAAUCCCUAGACUUUAUUGACCCAUGCACACCUUGGAGAGAUGUAAGAUGGGAGGAGAAGAUCUAAUGACAGAUUUCCGGGCAGCUGGCAUUAGAGAAAUAGAAAACUAUGACAAAAAUAGUUUUCUCGUGAGAAACUCCAUAGAUUAGCAGAAAGAGACUUCUGUUUCUCUACAAAGACUGAUGAAAAGACUCUAACAAAAAUUGAGACUGUUUUUUAGCCACCAAAGUUCUAAAGUUAUUUGUCUCUAUGUUAUCAUGUCAUGUGUACAAAGAAGUAAUCAAAAUGUAAAAGAUGAAGGGGUUUUCUAGAAAUUUACUCUAGUGUUCUUAUUCUUGUAGUUUGUUAAUAAACUGUCUUUAUUCCUUUUAAGUUUUAAGCCU
This 2038-nucleotide long non-coding RNA is filed under the name Parus major (Great Tit). RNAcentral's name for it is "lncRNA (ENSPMJG00000014328.1)". The record is from RNAcentral. Lineage: Eukaryota; Metazoa; Chordata; Aves; Passeriformes; Paridae.